GCGUCUGUCGUAUAAUGGUCAUUAUUCCUGCCUUCCACCUAUUUGGAAACGGAAUAACUCGGUUAGCAGGAGACAGGGGUUCGAUUCCCCUCGGACGCA
Ustilago trichophora is the source of this 99-nucleotide non-coding RNA. The record is from the annotation of a GenBank genome assembly. NCBI's taxonomy places the organism in Eukaryota, Fungi, Basidiomycota, Ustilaginomycetes, Ustilaginales, Ustilaginaceae.